UGGGGAAUAUUGCACAAUGGGCGCAAGCCUGAUGCAGCCAUGCCGCGUGUAUGAAGAAGGCCUUCGGGUUGUAAAGCACUUUCAGCGGGGAGGAAGGCGUUAAGGUUAAUAACCUUGGCGAUUGACGUUACCCGCAGAAGAAGCACCGGCUAACUCCGUGCCAGCAGCCGCGGUAAUACGGAGGGUGCAAGCGUUAAUCGGAAUUACUGGGCGUAAAGCGCACGCAGGCGGUCUGUCAAGUCGGAUGUGAAAUCCCCGGGCUCAACCUGGGAACUGCAUUCGAAACUGGCAGGCUAGAGUCUUGUAGAGGGGGGUAGAAUUCCAGGGGUAGCGGUGAAAUGAGUAGAGAUCUGGAGGAAUACCGGUGGCGAAGGCGGCCCCCUGGACAAAGACUGACGCUCAGGUGCGAAAGCGUGGGGAGCAAACAGG
This 429-nucleotide ribosomal RNA is filed under the name Chloroflexota bacterium. RNAcentral's name for it is "Chloroflexi bacterium partial 16S ribosomal RNA". It matches the Rfam family "Bacterial small subunit ribosomal RNA", at positions 355 to 776 of the family's 1533-position model. The record is from RNAcentral. Lineage: Bacteria; Bacillati; Chloroflexota.